Long non-coding RNA from Myodes glareolus (Bank vole), 1378 nucleotides. RefSeq lists it as uncharacterized. The record is from RefSeq and is a predicted model, not a curated record. NCBI's taxonomy places the organism in Eukaryota, Metazoa, Chordata, Mammalia, Rodentia, Cricetidae.
CUCUGUGGUGAAUCUGCGGCCAGCCUGCUCCGUAUAGUGAGUUUCGGGGCAACCAAAGCUACGGAGUGAGACCCUGUCUUAAAAAAAACAAAACUAACCAAAAGAAAAAAAAAAUUGCUCAUGGUUCAGCAACCUGAUAAAAAGCUCAGUAAAAUAGGAACGGAUGAACACUUCAGCAUGCUGGAGUAACCUCACUGCCUUGUGCUUGGUGGGGAAAUACCAGAGACAGCAGCACUAACGGCCAAAGCGACAGGCAUGCUCUCUGUCACGAUUACUGACCAGCUAAAGACACCAGCAGUCAUGGCCUCCCCCACGUCCGUACAGAGCAGCAGGCCGGCACUUGCUCUUGUGAUUGUUCGUGCGGGUAACCAGCAUCCAGGCCAUCCCUACAAAGUGAACCCGGGUGAGAGGGACAACAGCUUUGAACUCUUGAGAAGUCGAACUUUAGCCAACUCCCUUGUUUCGAGCUUGAAGAAUCUCUGAGUAUCUCGAGCUCAACUCGGGUCAGCGGCAGAAGGUGAUAAGCAGCCAUCAAGGCGGUAGUAGAGGAAACAGGAUUCUUCAGCUCUCCCAACAGGGUUUCUUUUGCUUGCCUAGUGGAGUUCCCCUUCCUAUGCCCACCUCAAAAAUAAAUAAAUAAAUGCACCCAGAGAAAAAGAAAAGGAAAUAAAGGCUUUAUCACCUGGAAAUGGUCCUUGUGAAGAUUAGCAACAGAGGGAACACCACAGGCACAGGAAACAGCUGUACCCACGGUGCCCAAGAAAGCCAGUCUCCUGCCGACCCUUCCCACCGCAAAAACAACUUCGCUGAGUCAUAUGGAGUUUGAGAAGAUCAGCUCUUUGUAUCUGACCUGCCAACCUCACCGGGCAACCGAAAAGACAUAUUUACUACUGCUCAUAAUUCAGGCUCCCCAAUAGCCUGGGUUGGGGUGAAUUUCAGGAGGAAAUGCCUCCAUAAUGUUCCUUUUUAGAAGAGUAAAAAGCAAAACAAAGCAAAACCAGCAAGAGAGAACAUCUACCCUGUCAGGAUGUUGUCACAGAGCACAGCUGUCCGUUGUAAGUUGGACAGCGUCUUACUUUGUAACCAGCCUAGCCUCCAGCUUGUCUUCGUCCAGGCUCAGCCCAAGACCUGGCAGAUGGACGUCACCAAGCCAGGUUCACUGAACACCUACCCAUCUAGUCAAUAUUUAAAGCCUUUCAAGAAAGACAGAACCAGGCCUGCUAGAUGGCUCAGAAUGUAAAAGUGCUUGCCACCAAGCCUGACAACCUGAGUUUGACCCCCAGAAGGAGAACUGACUUCUGAAAGUUGUCAUCUGGUCUCAUGUGCUGUGUGGUGUGAACACACGCAUGCCCAAUAAGUAAAAAUGCAGAAAGGAUAA